This is a long non-coding RNA of Lolium perenne, 730 nucleotides long. RefSeq lists it as uncharacterized. Lineage: Eukaryota; Viridiplantae; Streptophyta; Magnoliopsida; Poales; Poaceae. The record is from RefSeq and is a predicted model, not a curated record.
UUUCGGCCAGCCAUGUUUCUCCUCACUUUCUUCUCUUGCAAGCAUUGCCUCCCAACUACUCCAAUCAAUAAAUGGGCAGCCACCUUCCUUGGCCAAUGAAAAAGGAGGCAGCCACCCCUCUCCCUCUAUAAAUACCCCCUUGGCCGGCCACCACCUCCCCCUUUGCUCAUUUUCUUCACUCUCCACUCCUUCCUCCACUCCAGCCACGCCCUCCCCUUCUUCUUCCCACGAGCUGCUGCUCCCCCUUGCUCACAUGGCCGGCCAUGGCCAUGGAAAGCACUCCAAGAUGCAGUUCCCUCCUCUCCCAAGCUUCCCCUCACCAUGAGAGCUUCCCUCUAACUCUCUUCUCCCCUAACCUUUGAUGAAUCCAGCUCCCUUUCUCCUUUCUCCUGUCACUAGAUUGGAUCUUGAUGCAGGUGCAUGUUGGUCCAAGCAUGGAGAAGGUUGAGCUAUCCUCAGAUCUGAAGUUCUUGAGCAAAAUCCAAAUCGAGUGAUUCAAAGUUCCACAGAUAGGUAUUGAAAAUAUCUACAACUUGGCGUUGGUCUCAUCCUCAAAUUCGUUACGGAUUUUGCGUGAUCAAGAUCUGGUCAGAUCUAACUUUGUCGAAUUAAACCAGGAGCUUGGAAACGAAUUUUUGAAUGAAACCAGUUGGGGGAUAAUUGGUUUAUACCAUGGUGAUAACCGAGAGAGGCAAUUACUAAGAUUGUGAUGCACUCAUGCCUCUACUAG